Long non-coding RNA from Psammomys obesus (fat sand rat), 1589 nucleotides. RefSeq lists it as uncharacterized. Lineage: Eukaryota; Metazoa; Chordata; Mammalia; Rodentia; Muridae. The record is from RefSeq and is a predicted model, not a curated record. The transcript has 2 exons.
GCGAGGCGCAGAAACCGAAGUCCCGGGUUGCUUCUUGGGAAUCGCGGAAAAUUUGGCAAUUUCCAAACCCUGAAUGUGGAACGAAAACCAGAGAAUCUCCUAACUCUAAAGGAAUGUGUGCUGUCAUCUUCUUCAGUGCCUGUUGGGCUGCUGUAAAGGGCCUUUUUUUUUUUUUUUUGGCGCCCAGCCUCGCAGAGGAGUACUUCGGAGGGGUUGCGGCUAAGUAAUGGAGGAGGGAAGGGCAAAUGCAUACAAAUUAUCACCUCCACUUUUUAUUAAAUUCACAUCAUAUGAAAGUACCCUGUGCAGAUGUUGUAAUUCCUACUCCUGCUUUCGCUCUUUAUAGAUGGUGAACACUGAGUGAAAGUAUGAGUACUCACGCAUGGUAUGACUGAACAAACUUCAUCCUGUCUCAAAGCUGUAAUUACUGUGAAUAGCAAUGAUCCUAAAUGACUGAGAUCUUUUCUGGGCUUUGAUCUAGAUGUUUUGAUCAAUGAUGCCAAUUAACUGCUGAAACUUAAGAGGCUGAUCAUUUCAGAUGUUCUUCAAAGAUGGUAACUUAACAAUAUUUCUAAAAGCCUUGGAGUGAAAUUCUCACUCAUCUUGAGAUUCUAUACCCAAAUGAUCCUUUUUUUAAAUUCUGGAGAUCAGAGGAGACCUGUAAGAGGGCAGAGAAAACUAUGUGGCUCUCCCAAAGAAAUCUCACGUUGAAAGAAAUCAGAGAGUUUAGAGUCUAGGGUGGAGCCGGUGUAUUCACACCACACCCUAGGGUAGCUAUGAAAGUGGCCCAACUCGAAACUGUAAACGUAAUUAACAUGUUUCCAGGUGUGUUUUGAGAUUUUUUUUUUUUCUAAAGCUCUAUCGGGUGGUUAUUAGUGUAAACUCGGUCCAGGAAGACAUCAGGUCAAAGGUUGGAUAUGUCAGGGAGGGAUUCCACCUCACCACAAUCUCAGAUGAGAAUGGGUGGAGGACCAGCCUGGAACACUUCAGAGGAAGUCCCUCCGCUAUCACCUCCAUCCUAGUGUCUUCCUCCUUUUGUUCUGCUGAAGCUGCUGUUGUGACCUUCAAGGGAUGGACUGGAAUGUCAGACUAGAAUGUUUUAUUUUAAAAAUAAUUGGUCAUAAGGAGGUCACAACUAAAACAUUUGAAAUAUAUUUAAUGUAUAGCUAAGUGGUUGUUUUGUUGUUUUGUUGUUUUGUUUUGUUUUGUUUUGUUUUCAAUCGCUGCAAAGCUACUCAUCUUGGGUUUGUAUGGUUCAGGUGCUUUUUCUGUCGGACACCAGCACAGCGUGGCACACAGUGAGUCAGCCUCUCACUGACAAGCCUUGGCAGCCCCUGACAAGACACAUUUCCACCAUGGCCUGUGGAGUUAAGCCCAGAUGUUGCCUCAUCAUAGAAAAGUCCACCAUAUUGCUGCAGAAGGUCAGUCCUCGGAGACAGGACAUGGGCAAGAAGAGGUGAAUCAGUGAAUAGCGAAGAGCCAUUCCAGUGAAUAGUGUAGAUUACAAAUGCCUGGUGUGUUUGCAGGAAUGCUCUCAACUUUCUCUGUUACCCAAACUUUAAAAAAAAAAAACACCCUUUGCACUGAAA